This 400-nucleotide ribosomal RNA is filed under the name phytoplankton environmental sample. RNAcentral describes it as "partial small subunit ribosomal RNA". It matches the Rfam family "Eukaryotic small subunit ribosomal RNA", at positions 587 to 991 of the family's 1831-position model. The record is from RNAcentral.
AGCUCCAAUAGCGUAUAUUAAAGUUGUUGCGGUUAAAAAGCUCGUAGUUGGAUUUCUGCUGAGGACAACCGGUCCGCCCUCUGGGUGAGAAUCUGGCUUAGCCUUGGCAUCUUCUUGGACAACGCUACUGCACUUGACUGUGUGGUGUGGUAUCCAAGGCUUUCACUUUGAGGAAAUCAGAGUGCUUCCAGCAGGCAUAUGUCUUGAAUACAUUAGCAUGGAAUAAUAAGAUAAGACUUUGGUUUUAUUUUGUUGGUUUUUAGAACCGAGGUAAUGAUUGAUAGGGAUAGUUGGGGGCAUUUGUAUUUAACUGUCAGAGGUGAAAUUCUUGGAUUUGCUAAAGACAAACUAUUGCGAAAGCAUUUGCCAAGGAUGUUUUCUUUGAUCAAGAACGAAAGUA